AACGCUAGCUACAGGCUUAACACAUGCAAGUCGAGGGGCAGCAUGGUCUUAGCUUGCUAAGGCUGAUGGCGACCGGCGCACGGGUGAGUAACACGUAUCCAACCUGCCGUCUACUCUUGGACAGCCUUCUGAAAGGAAGAUUAAUACAAGAUGGCAUCAUGAGUCCGCAUGUUCACAUGAUUAAAGGUAUUCCGGUAGACGAUGGGGAUGCGUUCCAUUAGAUAGUAGGCGGGGUAACGGCCCACCUAGUCUUCGAUGGAUAGGGGUUCUGAGAGGAAGGUCCCCCACAUUGGAACUGAGACACGGUCCAAACUCCUACGGGAGGCAGCAGUGAGGAAUAUUGGUCAAUGGGCGAGAGCCUGAACCAGCCAAGUAGCGUGAAGGAUGACUGCCCUAUGGGUUGUAAACUUCUUUUAUAAAGGAAUAAAGUCGGGUAUGGAUACCCGUUUGCAUGUACUUUAUGAAUAAGGAUCGGCUAACUCCGUGCCAGCAGCCGCGGUAAUACGGAGGAUCCGAGCGUUAUCCGGAUUUAUUGGGUUUAAAGGGAGCGUAGAUGGAUGUUUAAGUCAGUUGUGAAAGUUUGCGGCUCAACCGUAAAAUUGCAGUUGAUACUGGAUAUCUUGAGUGCAGUUGAGGCAGGCGGAAUUCGUGGUGUAGCGGUGAAAUGCUUAGAUAUCACGAAGAACUCCGAUUG
Molecule: ribosomal RNA, 694 nt
Filed under: uncultured bacterium
Lineage: Bacteria
Description: bacterial SSU rRNA
Rfam family: Bacterial small subunit ribosomal RNA
Source: RNAcentral